Molecule: ribosomal RNA, 465 nt
Filed under: uncultured bacterium
Lineage: Bacteria
Description: partial 16S ribosomal RNA
Rfam family: Bacterial small subunit ribosomal RNA
Source: RNAcentral
GACGAACGCUGGCGGCGUGCUUAACACAUGCAAGUCGUACGGUAAGGCCCUUUCUUGGGUACACGAGUGGCGAACGGGUGAGUAACACUUGAGUAACCUGCCCACAACUUUUUUAUAACUCUAGUAAACUGGUUCUAAUACUUGAUAUGUGCUCCUGCUUCAUUGUUGUGGUUGGAAAGCUCCUGCGGUUGUGGAUGUACUCGCUGCCUAUCAGCUUGUUGGUGGGUUAGUGGCCUACCAAGCCGGCCUCGGGUAGCCGGACUGAGAGGGUGACCGGCCAAAUUGGGAAUGAGAUACGGGACAGACACGUACGGGAGGAAGAAGUGGGGAAUAUGGCACAAUGGGGGCAAGCCUGAUGAAGAAAAGCGGGGGGCGGGAUGACGGCCUUCGGGUUGAAAACAGCAUUCAGCAGGGAAGAAGCUGUUUGUGACGGUAACUGCAGAAGAAGCACCGGCUAACUACGUG